GAUGCGAAAUGAGGAUCUUGUUGG
This 24-nucleotide non-coding RNA is filed under the name Arabidopsis thaliana (thale cress). The record is from RNAcentral. Lineage: Eukaryota; Viridiplantae; Streptophyta; Magnoliopsida; Brassicales; Brassicaceae.